RNAcentral lists this transfer RNA (69 nucleotides) under Creobroter sp. Its description in RNAcentral is "tRNA-Arg". Lineage: Eukaryota; Metazoa; Arthropoda; Insecta; Mantodea; Hymenopodidae. The record is from RNAcentral.
AAGUAAGAAGCAAAUCAAUUGUAAUCAGUUUCGACCUGAUAGUAAGAAAUUAUCAAUCUUCCUUAUUUA